Molecule: small nuclear RNA, 99 nt
Filed under: Physeter macrocephalus (sperm whale)
Lineage: Eukaryota; Metazoa; Chordata; Mammalia; Artiodactyla; Physeteridae
Source: RNAcentral
UUGCUUCGGCGGCACAUAUACUAAAAUUGGAACAACACAGAGAUCAGCAUGGCCCCGUGCAAGGACGACACGCAGAUUCGUGCAGCGUUCCAUAUUUUC